This 483-nucleotide ribosomal RNA is filed under the name uncultured bacterium. RNAcentral describes it as "partial 16S ribosomal RNA". It matches the Rfam family "Bacterial small subunit ribosomal RNA", at positions 28 to 507 of the family's 1533-position model. The record is from RNAcentral.
AUUGAACGCUGGCGGCAUGCUUUACACAUGCAAGUCGAACGGCAGCGCGGGCUUCGGCCUGGCGGCGAGUGGCGAACGGGUGAGUAAUGCAUCGGAACGUGCCCAGUAGUGGGGGAUAGCCCGGCGAAAGCCGGAUUAAUACCGCAUACGACCUGAGGGUGAAAGCGGGGACCGAAAGGCCUCGCGCUAUUGGAGCGGCCGAUGUCGGAUUAGCUAGUUGGUGGGGUAAAGGCUUACCCAGGCGACGAUCCGUAGCUGGUCUGAGAGGACGACCAGCCACACUGGGACUGAGACACGGCCCAGACUCCUACGGGAGGCAGCAGUGGGGAAUUUUGGACAAUGGGGGCAACCCUGAUCCAGCCAUGCCGCGUGCGGGAAGAAGGCCUUCGGGUUGUAAACCGCUUUUGUUCGGGAAGAAAUCCUCUGGGCUAAUACCCCGGGGGGAUGACGGUACCGGAAGAAUAAGCACCGGCUAACUACGUG